This 657-nucleotide ribosomal RNA is filed under the name Echinophoria wyvillei. RNAcentral describes it as "eukaryotic LSU rRNA". The stretch from base 337 to 657 matches the Rfam family "Eukaryotic large subunit ribosomal RNA", at positions 665 to 949 of the family's 3401-position model. The record is from RNAcentral. Lineage: Eukaryota; Metazoa; Mollusca; Gastropoda; Littorinimorpha; Cassidae.
GAACUGGACUCUCCCGGCGCAGGACGCGGCCCGACCGUGUGCACUUUCCGCGGGCAGAGCGCCACGACCGGUUCUCGGGCGGUCAGAAGGCGGCGGGGAUGGUAGGUGCGCGCUUCGGCGUGCGCUGGUAUAGCCCCGCCUGUCCCGAUCCGCUCGGGGACCGAGGAGCCGCCGUCGGCGAGUUGGCCGCCCCGCCCUCCUGGGAUGCUUCGACUGGCAGAGACUGGGCAACCGUGUCUGCCGACCGCUUCCUCGGACGGUCUUAGGGGUGGGCCCGCCGGCACAGGGUCGGUGGCGAAUCGGUCGGCCCUCCACCCGACCCGUCUUGAAACACGGACCAAGGAGUCUAACAUGCGCGCGAGUCGUUGGGUCGUACGAAACCCGAAGGCGAAGUGAAAGCGAGGGCCGGUCUCUGACCGUGCUCAGGUGGGAUCCUGCCUCCCUUCCAAGCGGGGUGGGCGCACCACCGGCCCGUCUCGUCCGCGUUGUCGGUGAGGCGGAGCAUGAGCGUGCACGUUGGGACCCGAAAGAUGGUGAACUAUGCCUGAGUAGGACGAAGCCAGAGGAAACUCUGGUGGAGGUCCGCAGCGAUUCUGACGUGCAAAUCGAUCGUCAAACUUGGGUAUAGGGGCGAAAGACUAAUCGAACCAUCUAGUA